UGCGUAGGCGGCCGCUUAAGUAGGGUGUGAAAUGUCCCGGCUCAACCGGGGAAUGGCGCUCUAAACUGGGUGGCUCGAGUGAGAUAGAGGUGUGCGGAACUUCCGGUGGAGCGGUGAAAUGUGUUGAUAUCGGAGGGAACACCAUUGGCGAAAGCGGCACACUGGGUCUUAACUGACGUUGAGGCACGAAAGCCAGGGGAGCAAACG
This 207-nucleotide ribosomal RNA is filed under the name uncultured bacterium. RNAcentral's name for it is "partial 16S ribosomal RNA". It matches the Rfam family "Bacterial small subunit ribosomal RNA", at positions 568 to 774 of the family's 1533-position model. The record is from RNAcentral.